GACAAACAGAGGGAAAUUAGCAGAAAAAAAAUUAAAAAAACAAACAGGCUGGGUCAGGAAUGAGAAAAUUUUCAUUUCCAUCAUUUCCAGAUGGAAUUUUUAUCAGGAAUAUCCAUUUAAUCCCUGAAAUUUUCCACUUCCACCUCUAAAAAAAUCAGAUAUUUCCAGAGGAAAUUUCUUCUCCAUGUUACCCAGAGCUCAGGCUGGGUUAAAAUUGGGAAAAUUCUUUUUUUCCAUCAUUUCCAGAUUAUUUUUUUUAUCAGGAAUGUCCAUUUAUGGGCUCUAUAAUCACUGAAAUUCCUCUAAAAAUCAGAGAUUCCUACAGGAAAUUUCUUCCCUCUGAAUUCCUGUGUUACCCAGAGCUCAGGCUGGGUCAGGAAUGGGAAAUUUCUCAUUUUUGUCAUUUCCAGAUGAUUUUUUUAUCAGGAAUAUUAAUUUAUGGACUCCAUAAAAAUCCCUGAAAUCUUCAAAUUCUAUAUCUAAAAAUCAGAGAUUUCCACAGGAAAUUUCUUCCCUGUGUUACCCAGAGCUCAGGCUGGGUUAGAAUUGGGAAAAUUCUUUUUUCCAUCAUUUCCAGAUUAUUUUUUUCAUCAAGAAUGUCCAUUUAUGGGCUCCAUAAUCACUGAAAUCUUUC
Long non-coding RNA from Oenanthe melanoleuca, 634 nucleotides. RefSeq lists it as uncharacterized. The record is from RefSeq and is a predicted model, not a curated record. NCBI's taxonomy places the organism in Eukaryota, Metazoa, Chordata, Aves, Passeriformes, Muscicapidae. The transcript is spliced from 2 exons.